RNAcentral lists this ribosomal RNA (468 nucleotides) under uncultured bacterium. Its description in RNAcentral is "partial 16S ribosomal RNA". It matches the Rfam family "Bacterial small subunit ribosomal RNA", at positions 28 to 507 of the family's 1533-position model. The record is from RNAcentral.
GACGAACGCUGGCGGCGUGCUUAACACAUGCAAGUCGGACGGGAAAGACCGGCUACGGUGGUUUGCUCGAGGGGCGAACGAGUAAGUAGCAAGAAACUGACCUGCGCUGGAGUACAAGAGAACUUCACGACAGUUAAUAUAAUGCCGGCUAGGAGGUCCAGCGACGAAUCGGGGCGAGGAGAGGUUCGCCGCUGGCGGAUGGGCUGGCGGCUUAUUAGCUUGUUGGUGGGGUGGUGGCUUACCAGGGCUUUGACGGGUAGCGGGACUGAGGGGGUGACGGGCAACAUUGGGGCGGAGAUGAGGCCGCGACUCCUACGGGAGGAAGCAGUGGGGAAUAAUGCACAAUGGGGGGAAGACUGAUGCAGGAACGCCGCGGGGGGGAUGACGGCCGUCGGGUUGUAAACAGCUUUCGCCUGUGACGAAGCGUGAGUGACGGUAAUGGGUAAAGAAGCACCGGCUAACUACGUG